GAUGAACGCUGGCGGCGUGCCUAAUACAUGCAAGUCGAGCGAACAGACGAGGAGCUUGCUCCUCUGACGUUAGCGGCGGACGGGUGAGUAACACGUGGAUAACCUACCUAUAAGACUGGGAUAACUUCGGGAAACCGGAGCUAAUACCGGAUAAUAUAUUGAACCGCAUGGUUCAAUAGUGAAAGACGGUUUUGCUGUCACUCAUAGAUGGAUCCGCGCCGCAUUAGCUAGUUGGUAAGGUAACGGCUUACCAAGGCAACGAUGCGUAGCCGACCUGAGAGGGUGAUCGGCCACACUGGAACUGAGACACGGUCCAGACUCCUACGGGAGGCAGCAGUAGGGAAUCUGCCGCAAUGGGCGAAAGCCUGACGGAGCAACGCCGCGUGAGUGAUGAAGGUCUUCGGAUCGUAAAACUCUGUUAUUAGGGAAGAACAAAUGUGUAAGUAACUAUGCACGUCUUGACGGUACCUAAUCAGAAAGCCACGGCUAACUACGUG
This 497-nucleotide ribosomal RNA is filed under the name uncultured bacterium. RNAcentral describes it as "partial 16S ribosomal RNA". It matches the Rfam family "Bacterial small subunit ribosomal RNA", at positions 28 to 507 of the family's 1533-position model. The record is from RNAcentral.